Limanda limanda (common dab) is the source of this 77-nucleotide non-coding RNA. Lineage: Eukaryota; Metazoa; Chordata; Actinopteri; Pleuronectiformes; Pleuronectidae. The record is from the annotation of a RefSeq genome assembly.
GUCGGAAUGGCCGAGCGGUCUAAGGCUACAGGUUGCAGUCUCCAUUGGAGGCGUGGGUUCAAAUCCCACUUCUGACA